CUCAGAAAGAGGUUUGCGCCCGACUCUCACCAUAAAGUGUUACGUUCUUCAGCGACAUGACAAGGAAGUGAACUUGCUAGAUCUGGCAAUACAGAAUCAGUCAGCGGUAUAACCACCAUGUAGGCACUGUCUGAAAUGGCCUCCAGGCUCAGUCUUUCCCACCAGCCCACUGGAAAGGGAAAAGCAGCUUUUGACACAUGGCUAAACUGCCUAGCAAUGAUAGCUGCCAUAAUACACUCCCCAUCUUGUGGAGAUCCAGAGAGGAUACGGGAAAGUCACAGAAAAAUAGCAAAAUAUAACAUCUGGCAACUAGGUGGUGCUGAAAAUCUACCGAUGGGUAAAAAAAUGCAAAAGUUGGGGGAAAAGAAGAAGAAAAACAUUUGCACAAAAGAGAGGUACGGAAUUGGUCGGUGAAUUCUGUCCCAGAAGUGUGAGACCAAAGCGGUAAGACACAGUCAUUUGCUACAAGCAGCUGCCACCACCUCAAAGAUCCUUGAUCUAUAUGAACAACUUUUGAGCAGAACUGUGGCUCUGGUUUUGCUAUUCAUUGUCCUCAUUUUGUGCAGCAGUAUUAGGCUUCCUUUGUGUAGUUUUCUGUGGACUAGCAACUGCCCGGUGCCUAACAUGGCUUACUUUGUUUCAGCAGGUCUGAGCAUAUCUGAAAAUAAACUAUAUCAAAUUAGAA
Molecule: long non-coding RNA, 685 nt
Organism: Podarcis raffonei (Aeolian wall lizard)
Lineage: Eukaryota; Metazoa; Chordata; Lepidosauria; Squamata; Lacertidae
Exons: 2
Source: RefSeq, a predicted model, not a curated record